Molecule: ribosomal RNA, 440 nt
Filed under: uncultured bacterium
Lineage: Bacteria
Description: partial 16S ribosomal RNA
Rfam family: Bacterial small subunit ribosomal RNA
Source: RNAcentral
CCUACGGGUGGCAGCAGUGGGGAAUAUUGCACAAUGGGGGGAACCUUGAUGCAGCAACGCCGCGUGGGUGAAGAAGUACUCCGGUAUGUAAAGCCCUGUCAGCAGGGAAGAAAAUGACGGUACGUGACCAAGAAGCCCCGGCUAACUACGUGCCAGCAGCCGCGGUAAAACGGGGGGGGCAAGCGUUAUCCGGAUUUAUUGGGUGUAAAGGGAGCGUAGGCGGCAAGGCAAGUCUGGCGUGAAAGCCCGUGGGCCAACCCCGGGACUGCUUUGGAAACUGGGUUGCUGGAGUGGAGGAGAGGUAGGCGGAAUGCGUGGUGUAGCGGUGAAAUGCGUAGAUAUUAGGAAGAACACCGGUGGCGAAGGCAGCUUGCUGGACUGUAACUGACGUUGAGGCACGAAGGCGUGGGGAGCGAACAGGAUUAGAUACCCUAGUAGUC